UUUCAGUAGUGUCUGAUAUAUAAAUAUAUCGAUUACAUUUGAGUAUUUCAUAGUCUUUUGUACUGUCUCUAUGUGUUUUUUUAAGAUUUUUAAUGCCGUUCUGUAUUUUGUAUGUGUUUAUCUAACUAUAUAGAUAGCAAAGUACACAGGUUUUAGAGGGGCUUCAACAUGUAUAAUGUAUUUAGUGUCAAACACAUGUUGUAGGAAGUGUGAUUUAGAUUGAGUAAGGUUAGACAAGGGGGACAAGGGAAAGCAUUGAGGAUGUCCAUACUCUGCUUUCCAAAUGGUAACCUCACCCACCGUUUUUAAAACCUGGUGUCCCCUGUGUUCGCUAACGAGGCUCUACCGACCGAAUAAGGGCGGGAUAACCCUAACAUCAUGUACUGAGGAAAUGCGGUACAGACCCAAUGAAGUUUAAGGAAGACUCCUAAACAAGGAGUAUUAGGACUAAUCAUACUUUCUUUAAAGAAAAGACUCCAAUUAAAUGCAAAUAACUCACCAAACAAUUACAAUGACUUGCGAAUUGGUGCAUGGAAUAUCAAAAUAUUGUUACUAGUCGGAAAAAUGUAUGAACUAGUAAACGAACUAAUGCUCUGACGAAUAGACCUAGUUUUGCAGCGUAUGAGGUGGAAAAAACAAAAAACAUUGACGAAACACAACAGUUAGCAGUUGCAAAUCAGCAUUUAAGAAUAAACUUCUCACAACCCUUAUGUGGCUAUGCCUUCCAACUGAAGGAUGUAAGAGGAACAAAGAGAAUAGUUUCUACUUAAUUCUCAGCAUCGCUAGGGACUUAAAUUUGGACUUCGACAUAGAGUGGUGAGAUUGAGUGGUGAGGUAUGAGAUUGAUAUUCACUUCACGCAGUAACAAAUGAAAAUCACUUUAAGCUUGUUAUUCAGAAAAAUGCAUUAUCAUUAAUAUGAUAUUCCAAUAUUUCGCAAUUUAAAUAGAUCUUGUGUUCAUAUAAAAGAAAUACUCGUCUUCAACAAUUGAUGUUAAAACCAGCAGAAAACAAAAUUGGGGUCGUAACUACUACCAACUAAAAAUCCAGGCAUGUCAGUUACUCAAACAAUCUUGAGGUGAUGUCCAAAUACUAGAAGUGAAGAAUGAUCUUAGGAGUCUUGGGAUUUCCAAAUCUAUUCUUUUAAAAACCACUACGAUGGAACCUUUCAAUAAGCAUUGUAUUAACGUUUAUAAAAUACUAAACUUCAACAAAACAUGAGGUGGCAUGAACAAUUCAUUUAGUGAAGUAAUGAAGCAAUGUCAGUUGCAAAUGAGCAUUUAAGGGCUAAGCUUUUUCUGACACUAAACAUUCCAACUGAAGGCUGCGUUGAAAAUGAAGAGAAAAUGUAAUGUAGUGGAGGCAAAUGAAAUCGCAUGAGUUGCCAAGAAUUUAAAUGUAAAAUUGGACUAGUACCUCUUAGUCCAAAAAAGGAUGCGAAUGAUAUAUACUUCAAACAGUCGCAAUUGAAAAUUGUUAUAGACUUGUGAGUCUAACAAAUUAAAAUAUGUCAUCAUUGAUGUUCCGUUCUCGUAUAGUACACAAUACGUAUUCCAAUAAUCUUCAGGUGAAUAAUUUUUAAUUCAAUAUUCUUCAAUUCUAGAUGUAUAAACAAUCAGAAUAGUAAGCUGGGACCGUGUAAAUGAUCUGGUAAAGAUCAAAGUGCAUCAGUCACUCAAACAAUCGUUAGAUCCUGGCCAAACGCCAGGAGUAGAGAAUGCUAUCAUGAAGAUUGCAGAAUAUUGGAACGCUACUGAAGAGACUGAAGAGACUGAAGAGGCUACAGAGGGGUGGUUAAAAUGAAAACAAAAUGAAUGCACACGAGUAAUAAAGGAAAGAAAGAGUGAAAGCUGAGAAUGCAUUUUUAUAGAGAAACUAAAAAAAUAAUCACCGUUUUAACUUACAUUAAACGUAUGUCUGGAUAGACAAAUUCCGUCCAUCCAAGAAGAAAAAAAAUACUUAGCAGUUCAAAAAAACAGUUUAUGAACAACACACAUUUUUUAUUAUUUUUGUUA
Molecule: long non-coding RNA, 2014 nt
Organism: Teleopsis dalmanni
Lineage: Eukaryota; Metazoa; Arthropoda; Insecta; Diptera; Diopsidae
Exons: 3
Source: RefSeq, a predicted model, not a curated record